Molecule: ribosomal RNA, 403 nt
Filed under: bacterium
Lineage: Bacteria
Description: partial 16S ribosomal RNA
Rfam family: Bacterial small subunit ribosomal RNA
Source: RNAcentral
UGGGGAAUAUUGCACAAUGGGGGAAACCCUGAUGCAGCGACGCCGCGUGAACGAAGAAGGUAUUCGUAUCGUAAAGUUCUGUCCUAUGGGAAGAUAAUGACAGUACCUUAGAAGAAAGCUCCGGCUAAAUACGUGCCAGCAGCCGCGGUAAUACGUAUGGAGCGAGCGUUGUCCGGAAUUAUUGGGCGUAAAGGGUACGCAGGCGGUUUAAUAAGUCGAAUGUUAAAGAUCGGGGCUCAACCCCGCAAAGCAUUGGAAACUGAUAAACUUGAGUAGUGGAGAGGAAAGUGGAAUUCCUAGUGUAGUGGUGAAAUACGUAGAUAUUAGGAGGAAUACCAGUAGCGAAGGCGACUUUCUGGACACAAACUGACGCUGAGGUACGAAAGCGUGGGGAGCAAACAGG